Molecule: long non-coding RNA, 483 nt
Organism: Teleopsis dalmanni
Lineage: Eukaryota; Metazoa; Arthropoda; Insecta; Diptera; Diopsidae
Exons: 3
Source: RefSeq, a predicted model, not a curated record
GUUCAGUUGAUGUUGUGACUUUGGUGUCGGUAGUGGUGUUUCGGGGUUCUGACGAUUGUUUGUGUUUAAUUUUGUGGCGUAUUCAAAUGGAAAUGUUUUAAAAAUAUUUAAAUUCUCGAUUAAAAUUUAUUUAAAAUUAUAAUAAUGAAGCAAACAAUUCUAAACAUUUGAUUCGGGUCUUUUAUUAAUCGAAUUGAGAAGAAAACUAAAUACGAACGCAAGAACUUGGAAACCACUGUUUUACCGUUUAAGGUUUAAAAUACAAGAAAAUAUUUAAAAAAGGUUUUAAUUUGCGUUGAAAAACAUCUUAGAUAAACUCGACGGAAAAUCUUAAUUAGCAGUUUUAAAUUCCAAGAAUUUGUGUUUUUUUCCACAAAUUAAAGCGUUAACUAUUGUUAUUUAAAACAAUAGAAUAAUGAAAGGACACCAAAUCCGAGAAUGAACGGGAUUCCUGAAAUAAGUUAAUAUAUUUUUUGUAAUUAU